RNAcentral lists this ribosomal RNA (253 nucleotides) under uncultured bacterium. Its description in RNAcentral is "partial 16S ribosomal RNA". It matches the Rfam family "Bacterial small subunit ribosomal RNA", at positions 524 to 776 of the family's 1533-position model. The record is from RNAcentral.
UACGUAGGGUGCAAGCGUUGUCCGGAAUUACUGGGCGUAAAGCGCACGUAGGCGGACUAUUAAGUCAGGGGUGAAAUCCCGGAGCUCAACCCCGGAACUGCCUUUGAUACUGGUAGCCUAGAGAUCGGAAGAGGUGAGUGGAAUUCCCAGUGUAGAGGUGAAAUUCGUAGAUAUUGGGAAGAACACCAGUCGCGAAGGCGGCUCACUGGUCCGAUACUGACGCUGAGGUGCGAAAGCGUGGGGAGCAAACCGG